UACAGAGGUCCCGAGCGUUGUUCGGAUUCACUGGGCGUAAAGGGUGCGUAGGUGGCAUGGCAAGUUUGAUGUGAAAGCUCAGGGCUUAACCCUGAAAUGGCAUUGAAUACUGCUGUGCUGGAGGUUUGGAGGGGGGACUGGAAUUCUUGGUGUAGCAGUGAAAUGCGUAGAUAUCAAGAGGAACACCAGUGGCGAAGGCGAGUCCCUGGACAACACCUGACACUGAGGCACGAAAGCCGGGGGAGCAAACAGG
This 253-nucleotide ribosomal RNA is filed under the name uncultured bacterium. RNAcentral describes it as "partial 16S ribosomal RNA". It matches the Rfam family "Bacterial small subunit ribosomal RNA", at positions 524 to 776 of the family's 1533-position model. The record is from RNAcentral.